AAAUCUAGAGCUAAUACAUGCAUAAAAACCUUUUUGUUUUAACAAAUUGGUUAAAUUAUCGUUUCAAAACUAACGGGUUCGCCCUGUUUUGUUAACUCAUGAUAAUUAAUGACCGUUCUUUAAUGAAUGGAUAUUCAUAUUUGGUAUCUGCCCUAUCAACUAUAUGACAGUCUAUUGUACGGUCAUGGUUGUGCCGGGUAACGGAGAAUUAGGGUUCGUCUCCGGAGAGAAUGCCUUAGAAACGGCUUUCACUUCCAAGGAAGGCAGCAGGCGCGAAAAUUACCCAUUCUCAGAACGAGGAGGUAGUGACGUGAAAUGGCUUUAAUUCUUACGAAUUGAAGCAUUGGAAUGGUUGAAUUUUAAAUCAUUCAAGAUUAUCAAUGAGAGGGCAAGUCUGGUGCCAGCAGCCGCGGUAAUUCCAGCUCUCAUACUACAUUGAACUGCUGUUGCGGUUAAAAGUUCGUAGUUGCAAUGUACAUAUAAAUGUGGUUAUCAUUUUAUUAUGGUAUAACUGCAUUUGUGUUAUUAUAUUUCUUUACGGAAAAUAUAAUGAUACCCUGAGUAAGCAAGUGCUCAGAACAGCUAUUGCUUGCUGGAACGAAUACAUUAGUUGACGUUUGUUGGUUUACAGCUAUGUAUGAUUAUAGGGAUAACGGGG
This 658-nucleotide ribosomal RNA is filed under the name Panagrolaimus paetzoldi. RNAcentral's name for it is "bacterial SSU rRNA". It matches the Rfam family "Eukaryotic small subunit ribosomal RNA", at positions 154 to 886 of the family's 1831-position model. The record is from RNAcentral. Lineage: Eukaryota; Metazoa; Nematoda; Chromadorea; Rhabditida; Panagrolaimidae.